RNAcentral lists this ribosomal RNA (497 nucleotides) under uncultured bacterium. Its description in RNAcentral is "partial 16S ribosomal RNA". It matches the Rfam family "Bacterial small subunit ribosomal RNA", at positions 28 to 507 of the family's 1533-position model. The record is from RNAcentral.
GAUGAACGCUGGCGGCGUGCCUAAUACAUGCAAGUCGAACGAACAGACGAUGAUCUUGCUCCUCGCACGAUAGGCGCGCGCGUGUGAAUAACACGUGUAUAACCUACCUAUAAGACUGGUAUAACUUCGAAAAACCGGAUCUUAUACCAGAGAAGAUAUUGAACCACAGGGUGCGAUAGUGAGAUACGGUUUUUCUGGCACGUAUCGAUGGUUCCGCGCCGCAUUAGCUAGUUGUGAAGGUAACGGGCUACCAAGGCAACGAUGCGUAGACGACCUGAUAGGGUGAUAGGCCACCCUGGAACUGAGACAGCGUCAAGACUCCUAAGGGAGGCAGCAGUAGGGAACCUGCCGCAAUGGGCGAAAGCAUGACGGAGUAACGCGGCGUGAGUGAUGAAGGUCUUCGGAUCGGAAAAAUCUGUUAUUGGGGAAGAACAACUGUGUAAGUAACUAUGCACGUCUUGACGGUACCUAAUCAGAAAGCCACGGCUAACUACGUG